UACGGAGGGUCCAAGCGUUAUCCGGAUUUAUUGGGGUUUAAAGGGUGCGUAGGCGGUUCAGUAAGUUAGAGGUGAAAUCCCGUGGCUCAACCACGGACCUGCCUCUGAUACUGCUGGGCUAGAGAUUGGUUGCUGUGGGCGGAAUGUGUGGUGUAGCGGUGAAAUGCUUAGAGAUCACACAGAACACCGAUUGCGAAGGCAGCUCACAAAGCCACAUCUGACGCUGAGGCACGGAAGCGUGGGGAGGCAAACAGGAUUAGA
RNAcentral lists this ribosomal RNA (261 nucleotides) under uncultured prokaryote. RNAcentral describes it as "partial 16S ribosomal RNA". It matches the Rfam family "Bacterial small subunit ribosomal RNA", at positions 524 to 782 of the family's 1533-position model. The record is from RNAcentral.